GGGAAGGUGGCUUAGAGGUAAAAGUGCUUGCCUUACAUGCAUGAGGUCCUGGGUUCAAUUCCUCAGCACCCCA
Molecule: non-coding RNA, 73 nt
Organism: Dipodomys ordii (Ord's kangaroo rat)
Lineage: Eukaryota; Metazoa; Chordata; Mammalia; Rodentia; Heteromyidae
Source: Rfam